GACGAACGCUGGCGGCGUGCUUAACACAUGCAAGUCGAACGGAAAGGCCCUGCUUUUGUGGGGUGCUCGAGUGGCGAACGGGUGAGUAACACGUGAGUAACCUGCCCUUGACUUUGGGAUAACUUCAGGAAACUGGGGCUAAUACCGGAUAGGAGCUCCUGCUGCAUGGUGGGGGUUGGAAAGUUUCGGCGGUUGGGGAUGGUCUCGCGGCUUAUCAGCUUGUUGGUGGGGUAGUGGCUUACCAAGGCUUUGACGGGUAGCCGGCCUGAGAGGGUGACCGGCCACAUUGGGACUGAGAUACGGACCAGAAUCCUACGGGAGGCAGCAGUGGGGAAUAUUGCACAAUGGGCGGAAGCCUGAUGCAGCAACGCCGCGUGCGGGAUGACGGCCUUCGGGUUGUAAACCGCUUUCGCCUGUGACGAAGCGUGAGUGACGGUAAUGGGUAAAGAAGCACCGGCUAACUACGUG
RNAcentral lists this ribosomal RNA (468 nucleotides) under uncultured bacterium. RNAcentral's name for it is "partial 16S ribosomal RNA". It matches the Rfam family "Bacterial small subunit ribosomal RNA", at positions 28 to 507 of the family's 1533-position model. The record is from RNAcentral.